AGAAACACAAACAUCUGGAGAACAUCCCCAGGUAAACUGCUGGGCAGUGCAGAAAAUAUCUGGUGUGAUCUGAAACAGCUUUUUCUUCCCAUGAAAGUAAACCUCCGGGACUGGGAAAUUUCAAAGAGCUGGAGAGGACACAGAAGACAAGUCAAAACCCAGAAGGUUCACACAGCACAACUAGUCUACAAGGACUAGUUUGAACUACUCUCACCAGCUAAGACAACACUUCUUCUCUACAAGUGAAUCUCCAUGGAAAACUCUGUAUCAAACACACUGAUUUGUUUCGCCACCAAGAGAAGAAAGGUCAUUUGGCAGCUCUUUGAACUGUUGUAAAAAGCCCACCUACUUGGUUCCAGUCUUGCGGACCACAAGACAAGAAUUUAGAACAAGGAGUGUGAAGAAAACAGCUGAGGUGGAAAAGGGAUAUUUAGAGUCCCUACUGGCCAGCAGGAAAGGCAGCUCAUUUAACUACUCCGAGGAGUCUCUGCAAGGCUGGGCUGGACAUUUUUCCUGUGAUGGGGAGUGAAGGCUAGAGCUUUUUGCCAUCCUAAGGGACAAUGUGCAAAAUCGAAGGCAAAAUGUCUGAAAUAGGAAGGAUGUUUCUUGAUGUAAUGUUUUGUUUAUUUCUAGCUUUCUACACUUUUGAAAAUUGGUGUUUUUUCAGAGCAUUAGAAAUUAAUAAUUCCAGAUUACUGUCACUCUCAGUUCCCAUCACCACCCUUCACUGGGUAGGUCAACAGGUUCACUUGUGCAUGGAGGUAGCAAAUGGAUAUAAAAUGUCCCCAUGCAGCCCAAGUGGCAUCACCAGGAGCAAGUGAGAGUCCCUGAAAUAGCAGGAGAGGAUCAGGGAGCGACAAUACCUAGGGAGCUACACUUCAUGCUAGGAGAAAUUAGGAAACACAUGCAUAUAAGAGGACAUGACCAUCCAUCAUCAUUCAAUAUUAUCAGGAUAUGUGUAGCCAAUUCCCUGUCAUGUUCAGAGAAACACAGAUCCCUUCUCUUUGCACGUUUUUAUAUUUUUAUCACACAUUGCUCACUUUGCAUCACAUAAUUUAAUGUAAUUCCUAGUUUAAACAGAUAGUCUCACAUUGCAUUUUUUGUCACAGUACCACAUUUGGACACAAAUCCCCCACAACACAGUAGUGUAAUACACAACUAUGGAGGGGAGACACAUGGAUGACGUGACUUCCAGGUGAAGGAUGUGGAUACAGAAAUUUGAAAUAUCUUCUUAAGAAACAAGGGCUUUGAAACCACGGUUUCCAGAGAAUAUUUAGCAAUUCAUGUUCUGGAACUCAGACUAAAAUGAGAUUUUAAAACAAAGUGUAGAUCAAAACUUGGCAUGUUGUUUCUGUGGAAGUGCUAACAUUUCCAGACAGUUUCUUGUUCUGUUCUGGGUUGGAACAAAGCCUAAAAAAGUUUUACCUUUCCAGUGGAAAUGAAAUUCUGAAAAUAUUUUGUUCUAGGAAGCUCAAAACAUUGUUUUUUGCCUUUUCCAAAAUCAAAGGCAGCAGACGUGCCCGUGGGGAGGAGAGGCAUGGUCCUCUCAGGUGGCUGCCAUGUCUGAAGUGCAAUGGUGUCAGACAUGACUCCACAGCAUUUCCUGGAUGUUUCUACGAUGUGUGGAACAUAGAAACUCCUCAAUCCCUUUCUUCCUUGGGCCUCCAGACCGGCCAUCAGCCCUGCUGUGCUGCAGGGCUGGGAGCUGCAACCCCUGAACUGGAGCUGGGCAUCAUCUGCUGCCAGAGAACACAGCCUGCGAGACU
Molecule: long non-coding RNA, 1766 nt
Organism: Onychostruthus taczanowskii (white-rumped snowfinch)
Lineage: Eukaryota; Metazoa; Chordata; Aves; Passeriformes; Passeridae
Exons: 5
Source: RefSeq, a predicted model, not a curated record